RNAcentral lists this ribosomal RNA (465 nucleotides) under Vreelandella stevensii. RNAcentral describes it as "partial 16S ribosomal RNA". It matches the Rfam family "Bacterial small subunit ribosomal RNA", at positions 338 to 795 of the family's 1533-position model. Lineage: Bacteria; Pseudomonadati; Pseudomonadota; Gammaproteobacteria; Oceanospirillales; Halomonadaceae. The record is from RNAcentral.
CCUACGGGGGGCUGCAGUGGGGAAUAUUGGACAAUGGGGGCAACCCUGAUCCAGCCAUGCCGCGUGUGUGAAGAAGGCCCUCGGGUUGUAAAGCACUUUCAGUGAGGAAGAACGCCUGGUGGUUAAUACCCAUCAGGAAAGACAUCACUCACAGAAGAAGCACCGGCUAACUCCGUGCCAGCAGCCGCGGUAAUACGGAGGGUGCGAGCGUUAAUCGGAAUUACUGGGCGUAAAGCGCGCGUAGGUGGCUUGAUAAGCCGGUUGUGAAAGCCCCGGGCUCAACCUGGGAACGGCAUCCGGAACUGUCAGGCUAGAGUGCAGGAGAGGAAGGUAGAAUUCCCGGUGUAGCGGUGAAAUGCGUAGAGAUCGGGAGGAAUACCAGUGGCGAAGGCGGCCUUCUGGACUGACACUGACACUGAGGUGCGAAAGCGUGGGUAGCAAACAGGAUUAGAUACACUUGUAGUC